AGAACACUUGAAUAUGAAACAGAAAUGUUAAUUUUGAGUUGUCAAAAACAAGGCAUAAAAUCUAGACAAGGAAUAAAAUAGAAAAGACAUUGUACCGGAUGCAGAAAUGCAUUAUUAAAGAAACAAUACUUCUUGCUCUUUGCCGUCAUUUGUGGAUUUGAAAUAGAAGAAAAAUUAGGAAAAAAAUAGAAAAUGGGUAGGAGGUCGGUAAGGGCACUCACUUUUUGGCGUGCAAUU
RNAcentral lists this long non-coding RNA (237 nucleotides) under Theobroma cacao (cacao). RNAcentral describes it as "long non-coding RNA (TCAC_LNC002845)". The record is from RNAcentral. Lineage: Eukaryota; Viridiplantae; Streptophyta; Magnoliopsida; Malvales; Malvaceae.